Molecule: ribosomal RNA, 493 nt
Filed under: uncultured bacterium
Lineage: Bacteria
Description: partial 16S ribosomal RNA
Rfam family: Bacterial small subunit ribosomal RNA
Source: RNAcentral
GAACGCUGGCGGCGUGCCUAAUACAUGCAAGUCGAGCGAACAGACGAGGAGCUUGCUCCUCUGACGUUAGCGGCGGACGGGUGAGUAACACGUGGAUAACCUACCUAUAAGACUGGGAUAACUUCGGGAAACCGGAGCUAAUACCGGAUAAUAUAUUGAACCGCAUGGUUCAAUAGUGAAAGACGGUUUUGCUGUCACUUAUAGAUGGAUCCGCGCCGCAUUAGCUAGUUGGUAAGGUAACGGCUUACCAAGGCAACGAUGCGUAGCCGACCUGAGAGGGUGAUCGGCCACACUGGAACUGAGACACGGUCCAGACUCCUACGGGAGGCAGCAGUAGGGAAUCUUCCGCAAUGGGCGAAAGCUUGACGGAGCAACGCCGCGUGAGUGAUGAAGGUCUUCGGAUCGUAAAACUCUGUUAUUAGGGAAGAACAAAUGUGUAAGUAACUAUGCACGUCUUGACGGUACCUAAGCAGAAAGCCACGGCUAACUACGU